UACGUAGGGGGCAAGCGUUGUCCGGAUUUAUUGGGCGUAAAGAGCGUGUAGGCGGCUAGAUAGGUCCGUUGUGAAAACUCGAGGCUCAACCUCGAGACGUCGGUUGAAACCGUACGGCUAGAGUCCGGAAGAGGAGAGUGGAAUUCCCGGUGUAGCGGUGAAAUGCGCAGAUAUCGGGAAGAACACCCGUGGCGAAGGCGGCUCUCUGGGACGGUACUGACGCUGAGACGCGAAAGCGUGGGGAGCGAACAGG
RNAcentral lists this ribosomal RNA (253 nucleotides) under uncultured bacterium. RNAcentral describes it as "partial 16S ribosomal RNA". It matches the Rfam family "Bacterial small subunit ribosomal RNA", at positions 524 to 776 of the family's 1533-position model. The record is from RNAcentral.